AGGAUCAACGCUGGCGGCGUGCCUAACACAUGCAAGUCGAACGAGAAAGUGGGAGCAAUCCCACGAGUAAAGUGGCGCACGGGUGAGUAACACGUGACUAACCUACCCUUGAGUGGGGGAUAACCUAGGGAAACCUGGGCUAAUACCGCAUAAUACCUACGGGUCAAAGGAGCAAUUCACUUUAGGAGGGGGUCGCGGCAGAUUAGUUAGUUGGCGGGGUAAUGGCCCACCAAGACAGUGAUCUGUAUCCGGCCUGAGAGGGCGCACGGACACACUGGAACUGAAACACGGUCCAGACUCCUACGGGAGGCAGCAGUGGGGAAUUUGCGCAAUGGGGGAAACCCUGACGCAGCAACGCCGCGUGGAGGAUGAAGCCCCUUGGGGCGUAAACUCCUUUCGAUCGGGAAGAUAAUGACGGUACCGGAAGAAGAAGCCCGGCUAACUUCGUGCCAGCAGCCGC
Molecule: ribosomal RNA, 460 nt
Filed under: uncultured bacterium
Lineage: Bacteria
Description: SSU rRNA
Rfam family: Bacterial small subunit ribosomal RNA
Source: RNAcentral